UACGUAGGGUGCGAGCGUUAAUCGGAAUUACUGGGCGUAAAGCGUGCGCAGGCGGUUGUGCAAGACAGAUGUGAAAUCCCCGGGCUCAACCUGGGAACUGCAUUUGUGACUGCACGGCUGGAGUGUGUCAGAGGGGGGUAGAAUUCCACGUGUAGCAGUGAAAUGCGUAGAUAUGUGGAGGAAUACCGAUGGCGAAGGCAGCCCCCUGGGAUAACACUGACGCUCAUGCACGAAAGCGUGGGGAGCAAACGAGGAU
This 256-nucleotide ribosomal RNA is filed under the name uncultured bacterium. RNAcentral's name for it is "partial 16S ribosomal RNA". It matches the Rfam family "Bacterial small subunit ribosomal RNA", at positions 524 to 779 of the family's 1533-position model. The record is from RNAcentral.